CCAAUAGCGUAUAUUAAAGUUGUUGCAGUUAAAAAGCUCGUAGUUGAAUUUUGGAUUCUACCAAUCGGUCCAUCUUUUGAUGAGUACUGGUUGUGUGGGGUCUAUCCGCCUGGUAAUACGUAAUGUCCUUUAUUGGAUGUUGCGGGUAGUCAGGACCUUUACCUUGAAAAAAUUAGAGUGUUUAAAGCAGGCUUAUGCCGGAAUACAUUAGCAUGGAAUAAUAGAAUAGGACGAAGUUGUUUUAUUUUGUUGGUUUCUAGGACAACCGUAAUGAUUAAUAGGGAUAGUUGGGGGCAUUAGUAUUCAAUUGUCAGAGGUGAAAUUCUUGGAUUUAUUGAAGACUAACUAUUGCGAAAGCAUUUGCCAAGGAUGUUUUCAUUAAUCAAGAACGAAAGUUAGGGGAUCGAAGACGAUCAGAUACCGUCGUAGUCUUAACCAUAAACUAUGCCGACUAGGGAUCGGGCGAUGUUGUUCAUAUGACCUCGCGGGCAGCCUUCG
RNAcentral lists this unclassified non-coding RNA (498 nucleotides) under uncultured Archaeospora. RNAcentral describes it as "SSU rRNA". It matches the Rfam family "Eukaryotic small subunit ribosomal RNA", at positions 591 to 1092 of the family's 1831-position model. The record is from RNAcentral. Lineage: Eukaryota; Fungi; Glomeromycota; Glomeromycetes; Archaeosporales; Archaeosporaceae.